AUGUGGUUUGGUUCGAUGCUCUCAUUUAACAUUUCGCAGAGGAGUUCUAUUGCACUGUUUUCCUGUGCUCCACAUUGCACGUAUCCUGAUAUCAGUGCUGUCCAUGACAUGACAUUAUGUGUGGGCAUUCGUUUGAAGACUUUCCUUGCACAUUCCAUGGACUGUUCCAUUUGCAAUUUUGUGUACAUGUCCACAAGUCCACAGCUCACACAAGUAUCAGAAACCAGCCCCAGCCGUAGUACUAGAGAAUGCAGUUGCUGCCCGAAUCUGAGUGAUCCCUGCUCUGCGCAUGCCGAAAUCAUGCUGCUCAUGGUGUAUCCGUCAGGCUCAAAACCAUCUUCUAGCAUGCCAAGAAAUAACUCAACCGCCUUGCCUGCACACCCGCCUUGCACAUACCGUGUAAUCAUCAGCGUCCAGACGACCACUGUCCUCUCAACCAACCCAUCAAACACCUUCCGUGCUGCCACCAGGUCCCCGUUCCUGGCGAACAUAUCAAUCAAGGCGCAGCCCACCGACACGUCGGUGCCCCAGAACCCCGUCUUGAGCACAAAACCAAGGACCGCGCCGCCAGACAGGCGAAAGAGCUCCCCCGGAAAGCAGGCACGAGCCGCGGCGCAGAGCGUGAACGCGUUGGGCCGGAGCCCCGACUCGAGCAUCUCGCCGAGGAGGAGCAGGGCCUCCUGCUCCGCGCCGUUUCGCGCGAGGCAGAAGGCCAUUGCCGUCCAGGACACGAGGUCCCGCAGGCCGCGCAUUCCGUCGAACACCCUGCGCGCGGCGCUCACGUGGCCGCACUUGGAGUACAUGGUGAGGAGUGAGUUGGCGACCAAGGCGUCGGUGUCGAGGAUCUCGGUGCCGAGGAGGCGGCGGUGGAGCGCGCGGCCGAGGCGGAGGUCGCCGGCGCGCGCGGCGGCGGCGAGGAGCGACGCCGCGGCGGAGGCGGAGGGGUUUUCGGACGAGAGCGCCUGCAAGUUUGGUAUCCGUGGGUUGAAGUGGCGAUGCGGGGUCUGGAAUGGAGGUGACGACGGUGGGAGCCCGGGGGGAAGGCCGGCGAGGGUUGAAGCCAUGGCAGCACCGGCGGGAAGGGAGGGAGAGGGCAUCGACGUUGAUGCCGGCCGUUGGGCAACUGACAGCCGUCCCGCUCUCGGAUAA
RNAcentral lists this ribosomal RNA (1149 nucleotides) under Triticum aestivum (bread wheat). RNAcentral describes it as "partial small subunit ribosomal RNA". Lineage: Eukaryota; Viridiplantae; Streptophyta; Magnoliopsida; Poales; Poaceae. The record is from RNAcentral.